Non-coding RNA from Characodon lateralis, 83 nucleotides. The record is from the annotation of a GenBank genome assembly. Lineage: Eukaryota; Metazoa; Chordata; Actinopteri; Cyprinodontiformes; Goodeidae.
UGCACGGUAGUGCAGUUGGUAGCACUGCUACCUUGCAGCAAGAAGGUCCUCAGUUCGACUCUCGGCCGGGGGGCUUUCUGCAU